GUGGGGAAUAUUGCACAAUGGGCGGAAGCCUGAUGCAGCGACGCCGCGUGAGGGAUGACGGCCUUCGGGUUGUAAACCUCUUUCGACAGGGACGAAGCGUGAGUGACGGUACCUGGAGAAGAAGCGCCGGCCAACUACGUGCCAGCAGCCGCGGUAAGACGUAGGGCGCGAGCGUUGUCCGGAUUUAUUGGGCGUAAAGAGCUCGUAGGCGGCUCGUUGCGUCGGCUGUGAAAACCCGCAGCUCAACUGUGGGCUUGCAGCCGAUACGGGCGGGCUAGGAUUCGGUAGGGGAGACUGGAAUUCCUGGUGUAGCGGUGAAAUGCGCAGAUAUCAGGAGGAACACCGGUGGCGAAGGCGGGUCUCUGGGCCGAUAUCGACGCUGAGGAGCGAAAGCGUGGGGAGCGAACAGGAUUAGAAACCCGGGUAGUCC
This 430-nucleotide ribosomal RNA is filed under the name uncultured bacterium. RNAcentral describes it as "bacterial SSU rRNA". It matches the Rfam family "Bacterial small subunit ribosomal RNA", at positions 354 to 796 of the family's 1533-position model. The record is from RNAcentral.